UGAUAGCUGUGAAGCGUGAGGUUGCUGCCGAGACGAAGAAUCGUCGAUAGCAGGUUUUCCGUGGAGCGAAUGUCAAGUUAGGAAACUGGCGACAA
This 95-nucleotide non-coding RNA is filed under the name Lachnospiraceae bacterium 1_4_56FAA. RNAcentral describes it as "S10-Clostridia ribosomal protein leader". It matches the Rfam family "S10-Clostridia ribosomal protein leader". The record is from RNAcentral. Lineage: Bacteria; Bacillati; Bacillota; Clostridia; Lachnospirales; Lachnospiraceae. RNAcentral also lists the same sequence under 1 other name.